Molecule: long non-coding RNA, 227 nt
Filed under: Callithrix jacchus (white-tufted-ear marmoset)
Lineage: Eukaryota; Metazoa; Chordata; Mammalia; Primates; Cebidae
Description: lncRNA (ENSCJAG00000076864.1)
Source: RNAcentral
GCACAUUCACAGAAAAUGCAGCAGUUCUCUGCUCUGGCUGAUCGCUUCGCCUCCUGUUUGCAGGAUGGAAGAAACAGGUUUUAUUUGGAGUUUUGAAGGCUGAGAAAUCUAAGGUCAAAGGACCACAUCUAGUGAGAGCCUUCUUGCUGAUGGGGACUCCCUUCAGAGGCCGGAAGCAGUGUGGGACAUCAUAUGGUGAGAUGGGUGAGUGUGCUGGCUUAAAUCUU